Molecule: ribosomal RNA, 331 nt
Filed under: uncultured eukaryote
Lineage: Eukaryota
Description: partial 18S ribosomal RNA
Rfam family: Eukaryotic small subunit ribosomal RNA
Source: RNAcentral
CCCUUAGAUGUUCUGGGCCGCACGCGCGCUACACUGACGAAGUCAGCGAGCAGGUCCUACGCCGACAGGUGCGGGGAAUCUUGUCAAACUUCGUCGUGAUGGGGAUUGAUUAUUGAAAUUCUUGAUCAUCAACGAGGAAUUCCUAGUAAGCGCAAGUCAGCAGCUUGCGUUGAUUACGUCCCUGCCCUUUGUACACACCGCCCGUCGCUACUACCGAUUGAAUGGUUUAGUGAGAUCUUCGGAUUGGCGCCACUGCGGCUCAGCAAUGGGCUCGGUGGAUGCCGAAAAGUUGAUCAAACUUGAUCAUUUAGAGGAAGUAAAAGUCGUAACA